This is an RNA transcript of Capsicum annuum, 1056 nucleotides long. It is a transcript of the gene named cytochrome P450 82C3-like, with no coding region annotated. The record is from RefSeq and is a predicted model, not a curated record. NCBI's taxonomy places the organism in Eukaryota, Viridiplantae, Streptophyta, Magnoliopsida, Solanales, Solanaceae. The transcript is spliced from 3 exons.
AUGGUAGAAAUGCAAGGUAAAGCUUCGUACAAUAGUGCACAUAGCAAUUACUUUAGUGCACCAGACUGCCUGGUCUUUGGAGCUAAUCUUGAUUUUCCGGUGACCGGAGGUGAUUUUCGGGUGAAAGUGAAUAUUACUAAUUGGAUAGAAAAGUUAACACUGAGCUUGAUAGUGAAAAUGAUAGCUGGAAAAAGCUAUGGAAGGGUAGAAAAAGGUGGAAAUGAAGAAGAAGCUGAGAGAUUUAAGAAAGCUUUGAAGGAUUUUAUGUCAAUAGGGUUUGUGUUAUGGGAUGCAUUUCCAAUACCUUUGUUUAAGUGGAUUGAUUUUCGAGGGCAUGUUAAGUUUAUGAAAAGGACAUUUAAAGAUAUUGAUUGUGUUUUACAAAGUUGGUUGGAUGAAAAUGUGAAGAAAAGAGAAAGAGUUAAUUUUGUUGAGGGAAAUGAAGAGGAUUUUAUUGAUGUUAUGCUUUCUAUGAUGAGUAAUGAAGAUUUUGUUGAUGGUUAUAGUAGAGAAACCACCAUUAAAGCUACUACUCUGAUUCUUCAAAAUGUCGUCGGGUGUGUAUCUGUACUGAUCCUUCAAAAGUAGUGCCUUUUUCAGAGGAUUCAAUAUAACAACAGCAUACCCCAGUGAAAUCCACAAGUAGGGUAUGGGGAGGUAGAGAGUACUGUCAGAGAGUAUGGUGUUGGUUGCUUCGGACGCGACUGCUAUUCACUUAAAUUGGGUAAUGGCUACAUUGUUAAACCACAGAGAUGCCAUGAAGAAAGUCCAAGACGAGCUAGACACAAAUGUUGGCAGAAACAGAUGGGUAGAAGAGAGUGAUAUCAAGGAUUUGGUAUACUUCCAAGCUGUCGUUAAAGAAACACUGUGAUUAUAUCCACCAGCACCUUUGUUAGCACCACGCGAAUCAGUAGAGGACUGUAUCGUACGAGGAUACCACAUUCCAAAAGGUAGAAGAUUGUGGGUCAAUACUAUGAAACUACAUCGAGAUCCUAAGAUUUGGUCGAAUCCUGAUACAUUUGAUCCAGAGAGAUUCUUGACUAGUCAAGCAAGGGU